CCCUCAGCAGCAACACAAAACUCAUCUUCCAGCAUUCUUUGAAUGGAAUGAUAUGUUUAUAAUGGUGACAGAUGAAGUAAUUUACAGCAUCUGCUGGUAGCCACUUCAGUAUUUAUAGGUAGUUAAUCCACUCUGCCAAAGAAAAGGACCAGAAUGCCAACAGGAUUGUUGGUAACUCUGUGUGUGUGUGUGUGUGUGUUUGUGUGUGUGUGUGUGUGUGUGUGUGUGUGUGUGUGUGUGCUGCAACCUUGCUUGCUGCCCUCAGCUGCAUCUCAGUUAAUAGAGAGCACAGUCCCAUGUAGAAGAAAUUGUUUUCUAAGCAGAAGUACGCUUGUAAGACUCAAUAUCUCGCCUUCAACACAAGGCAGUGUAAAGAAGCCUAAGAAAAGAUCCAUAUUACCCAGAAACCAUGAGUACUCCACAGAAUUGCUAGCUUGUUUUGAAACUCUGAACACCUCACUAGGAGAACCCUAAGCUUUCCUUUAUAAAUUGUCACUCAAGUCAAUGUUUUUUAUGUGGGUUUAGAGUUAUGAAAUUUUCUUUCAGGAUGGCUGUUUAGACAAGUUGGGAUUUGAUGCAAAAAAUGAUAUUCUUAAUGACAAUACUCCAUGCAAAUAUGACACUGAGUUUUCCCUUGAUUUGUCUGCAGUUUUGAUGUACAGUAUUACCUGUAUAUUGCUGAUACAAGACAAACUUGCCUCCCUCAAAGAUUCAAGUACUGUAAAUUUGUAAACACAAAUGAAUCUUAUGUCUCAAAUGCAGGUCAUUUUUUUCUUGCCUUCAAGUGUGUCAAUACAGCUUCAAGUUUACGGGGAAUGUAAAAGGUUUAAUAUGGAGAAGGACUUGACAUAUGGGUACAUCUAGGUACAUCUAUGUACUCUUGGCUUUUUUUGUGAUAGUGUUCAAGACAUAUUUACAUGGAGGAGAUGACUGUCAUAGCACUUGUCAAAUCCUAUUCCACUCUGCUUUCAUGGACUAUAAACAAAUGCCAGACUGAAUACAGAAAUCUUUCCAGAUUUUAUUAAGAGACAUGGUCUGUAUGAUCUUCACAGAACACCUAGAGAAACUGAGGCAUCACGCAUCAACAGAACUUCUGCACUAGACUUCCAGAGGGCAGACUUUGGCUUUUUCAAGAGAUUCAUUUGGAGAGUACAGAAUCACAGAAUGACAGAAUGACUAGGUUAGAAGAGACCUUCAAGAUCAUGGAGUCUAACUGAUGCCCUAUUACCUAAACUAUAAAGUAAACCAUGGCACCGAAUGCCAUAUCCAGUCUUGUUUUAAACACAUCCAGGGAUGGUGACUCCAUCACCUCUCCAGGCAGACUAUUCCAGUAUUUUAUCACUCCUUCCAUAAAAAACUUUUUAAUAAUGUCCAGCCUAUAUUUCCCUUGGUGCAGCUUGAGAUGGUGUCCUCUUGUUCUGUCAGUUGCUGCCUGGAGAAAGAGACCAACCCCCACCUGACUGCAAACACCUUUCAGGAAGUUGGAGAGAGUGAUGAGGUCACCCCUGAGUCUCCUUUUCUCCAGGCUAAACAACCCCAGCUCCCUCAGCCAUUCCCCACAGAACUUGUGUUCCAAGCCCCUCACCAGCCUCGUUGCCUCCUCUGGACGCGCUCAAGCGUCUCAACGUCCUUCCCAAACUGAGGGCCCAGAACUGGACACAGCACUCGAGGUGCCUCACCACACAGCCUCACCAGUGCCCAGUUCAGGGGGAGAAUGACCUCCCUGCUCCUGCUGGCCACACCAGUCCUGGUACAGGCCAGGAUGCCAUUGGCCUUCUUGGCCACCAGGGCACACUGCUGGCUCAUGUCCAGCUGGCUGUCCCCAGUACCCCCAGGUCCCUUUCUGCCUGGGCACUGUCCAGCCACACUGUCCUGAGACGGUAGUACCUUGGAAAAUAGUUAUUAAGAACAAAGGGGUUCCGGGAAGGAUUGUCAUACUUCAAGAAAGAAAUCUGGAAGCCUCAGGAGCAAGUUGCCCCUAUGUGCAAUAAGAUGAGCUGACAGAGAAGAUGACCAGCCUGGAUCAGCAGGGAGCUUUGGAAAAGCUAAAGGAAAAAAGAGUGUGUAUCACCUUUGGAAAGAGGGGAAGGCUACCCAUGAAAUGUUUAAGGAUGUUGCUAUGCCAUGCAGGAAGAAAAUUAAACAGGCAAAAGCCAUUAGAACAUGAUCUGGACAGUUCUGUGAAAGAUAAUAAAAAUGUUUUUAUAAAUACUAAUGUUUUUACA
Molecule: long non-coding RNA, 2225 nt
Filed under: Cyanistes caeruleus (blue tit)
Lineage: Eukaryota; Metazoa; Chordata; Aves; Passeriformes; Paridae
Description: lncRNA (ENSCCEG00000009982.1)
Source: RNAcentral